This 253-nucleotide ribosomal RNA is filed under the name uncultured bacterium. RNAcentral's name for it is "partial 16S ribosomal RNA". It matches the Rfam family "Bacterial small subunit ribosomal RNA", at positions 524 to 776 of the family's 1533-position model. The record is from RNAcentral.
UACGGAGGGGGCUAGCGUUGUUCGGAAUUACUGGGCGUAAAGCGCACGUAGGCGGCUUUGUACGUUAGAGGUGAAAGCCCGGGGCUCAACUCCGGAAUUGCCUUUAAGACUGCAUCGCUAGAAUUGUGGAGAGGUAAGUGGAAUUCCGAGUGUAGAGGUGAAAUUCGUAGAUAUUCGCAAGAACACCAGUGGCGAAGGCGGCUCACUGGCCCGAUACUGACGCUGAGGUGCGAAAGCGUGGGGAGCAAACAGG